UACGUAGGGUGCAAGCGUUAAUCGGAAUUACUGGGCGUAAAGCGUGCGCAGGCGGUUUUGUAAGUCUGACGUGAAAUCCCCGGGCUCAACCUGGGAAUUGCGUUGGAGACUGCAAGGCUAGAAUCUGGCAGAGGGGGGUAGAAUUCCACGUGUAGCAGUGAAAUGCGUAGAGAUGUGGAGGAACACCGAUGGCGAAGGCAGCCCCCUGGGUCAAGAUUGACGCUCAUGCACGAAAGCGUGGGUAGCAAACGGG
This 253-nucleotide ribosomal RNA is filed under the name uncultured bacterium. RNAcentral describes it as "partial 16S ribosomal RNA". It matches the Rfam family "Bacterial small subunit ribosomal RNA", at positions 524 to 776 of the family's 1533-position model. The record is from RNAcentral.